UUUUGAAAGUUAAUUAUAUAUAUAUAUAGAUAUAGACACAAACAAUAAACAACGAGUUCAAGAUACACAGGUAAGAAGUUCAAGAAAAUUGAUUGCAGAAAAAGGUCACAGAUAUGUUUACAAUCUCUAUCUUUCCUGAAAUUUGUACCAUGGACUUAUUCUUGCAAGAAAAGAACAUGCUAAACUGAUCAGACGGAAGAAGCCAAAGCAUCGGAGUAGAUAAAUAGCAUGACCAACAAGAUCACAAUCUUAGAUAUUCAUCAUGGGCAAUUCCUUUUGUAGACAUUACACUUUUCUGGAUUCUUACCAGAGCCUCCGAAGGGCGCACAGGAACGAUAACCAAUAUAGUCCCUACAAACUCGUUUAUUGACGACUGGCCUAUUUUUAUUAAAAACCUUGGAAUUGAUCAAAGGAUUGCCCUCAGCAAGCAUUCUGGCGGUGAUGGUGGCAAAUUGCGACUCCAGUUGAUGGAGAAUGGGGCAGUCUUGUAGGGAGCCAUCACAAAGAGACAUGGUCUCAUUGGAGUUUCUUACAGCUGCAAUGCUAAGAUGUUCAUGCAGCAUAAUCAUCACAACCCAUAACAACAAACGGGCUGCUGAUUGCUUCUUCAUGCUUCUCAUCACUUCUACACUGUAAUGGACAUCCAAUAUCUACC
Molecule: long non-coding RNA, 655 nt
Filed under: Vigna radiata
Lineage: Eukaryota; Viridiplantae; Streptophyta; Magnoliopsida; Fabales; Fabaceae
Description: long non-coding RNA (VRAD_LNC003200)
Source: RNAcentral